GAUGAACGCUGGCGGCGUGCCUAAUACAUGCAAGUCGAGCGAACAGACGAGGAGCUUGCUCCUCUGACGUUAGCGGCGGACGGGUGAGUAACACGUGGAUAACCUACCUAUAAGACUGGGAUAACUUCGGGAAACCGGAGCUAAUACCGAAUAAUAUAUUGAACCGCAUGGUUCAAUAGUGAAAGACGGUUUUGCUGUCACUUAUAGAUGGAUCCGCGCCGCAUUAGCUAGUUGGUAAGGUAACGGCUUACCAAGGCAACGAUGCGUAGCCGACCUGAGAGGGUGAGCGGCCACACUGGAACUGAGACACGGUCCAGACUCCUACGGGAGGCAGCAGUAGGGAAUCUUCCGCAAUGGGCGAAAGCUUGACGGAGCAACGCCGCGUGAGUGAUGAAGGUCUUCGGAUCGUAAAACUCUGUUAUUAGGGAAGAACAAAUGUGUAAGUAACUAUGCACGUCUUGACGGUACCUAAUCAGAAAGCCACGGCUAACUACGUG
This 497-nucleotide ribosomal RNA is filed under the name uncultured bacterium. Its description in RNAcentral is "partial 16S ribosomal RNA". It matches the Rfam family "Bacterial small subunit ribosomal RNA", at positions 28 to 507 of the family's 1533-position model. The record is from RNAcentral.